UAUCAGGGGCCGGGGUGAGUAAUCCGCUCGGGUUUGCUUUCAGGAGCUUUUGUUCCCUGAGCGCUUUCCGUAGAGUUCCGGAGGACGGGGAAUACAAAUGGCGGCCUCCUGGUCUCCAGCCCAGAGUAGCCGAGAGCCCAGGGCCCCACUCCUCAGUGCGCCCUCAGAGAACAACGCCAGUUACUCCCGUCUGCCUGACCUCCAGCCGUGCUCCCAACUCACCGAGCCUGCGACCGGUUCAAGAGAAUGCCAACUAUUGUGACCAUCUUCCUUGAAACAAGACAGAUUCAUCCCAUUGGUAUUACUCAAGAACAUGUUAUGUGUUGAUAGUGUUGAUAGAAGUUACCUGUAUUCUAAGGUUUCAGAUAGAACCAAGAAAUUCUAAGAAACAAACAUACAUUACAGAUAAAACCUUCAAUAUUGCCAUGUCCCCCAAACUAGACCAUCAAAUGUCUAGAUCAGAGAUAACAAACUACAAGAGCCAGGCCUACAAGAGCCAGGCAGAUGAUGAUGUCAGGCAAAAGACUAGUAAACUACUCACUUGCUUUCUCCAAAGAGGGCCAUGGAAACUGACCCCUAGAUGAGUGCUGACAAAUGAGAGUGUGGACCCACUGCUGACAGGUUUCAUUUCAUAAGAAGAAUGGGAAACCACAGGACAUACGGUGAUUUUUAUUAUUAAAUAUUGUAAAUGACACUUCUGUGGCCUGAAAGGCUUACAUGAUCUGUUAGCUGGUGAACUCUAAAAGACAGAAAGAUGACUCCUUUUCAUCACUUCUUCUAAGUUCAUAUGUCCCUAAUUCUCAGAAUAUUCAUACAGAAUCUCUUGCCAGUGGUGGUUCUCAGUGUGGCAGAACCAUUCACUCCCCUUAUCUGUGGGACUUGCCUUCUUGCCAUCCUAAAUCACUCUGACUUCCAUCUGCCUCCUGGAAAGGAAAUUCAACUUUCUGUUUCACAUGAUCUUAAUUUUUGUCAAAAAAAAAAAAAUCUCUAAUAAAGUCAAGGCUGCAAAGAUGGCAGAGUAGUGCUCUGAGCUUACACUCUCCCAAGUUUACAACUAGAUAUCAUUCAGACCCAAGUCCAUAAACUAGAGAGUGAUCUGAAGACUGGCAGGACAAACUCCACAAAUGAAUAUAGAGAAGAAGUUGAAUCUGAAAGGCUAGGAAGGUCAAAAAGAUAGAGGGAAACUGUUGGCAGGUGGGAAAGAGCUGCGUGCAUGGAGAGAGCAGAGAAAUGGUUCCUCACACCAGGGAGUUCACACGGGAAGACUAUUCCUCAUAACAUUUGGCUUUUAAAGACCAGAGAAGCUGAAUUCUUAGAGUUUGUAUAAGUAGUUGGACCUGGAGCCUGGAGCUUUAAAAGUCAGCUGACUCAGCACUGGGCAAGCUGUGAGAGCCAGUGAUAGCUGGGGUGGGGGGAAGGGGGGCCCUUAUAAAGACAGCAGCUGCAUGGAGAGACAACAUAAAAAAAUCACAGUUUACACAUGCUGGGGCAAACAGGAGACAGAUCAGUUCAUACUGACUUUGGAGCAUGUUGGGGAACUUCUCCACAAAUGAGGCUACUGGCAGGUACCAUUCCUGCACUCCUCAACCCCCCUCCCCAAUCUCACACCCCCUCUUCCCCCAUCUCCCACCUGCCCCUCUCCCCAACAUAAACCUAAGGUCUUCUGCGGGAGGUGGGGCUGCACUGAGACUUGCUACCUAACCUGCCAGGUCUGUGUCAGACCUGCAGGUUCUCCUGAGGACUGGACCACUCCAAGCCCACUCACCUCAGCCCAGCGCUUAGGGCAAAUUUUGUUAAAACUGCUCUCAUGUACCCUCCUGGGCCACCAAGUGCAUAGCCAAGCCCAGCCUCAACCCCCUGCCCACCCCCCCAACACACAUCACCCAACCUGUGUCAGACUUUGGGGGAUCUGGCAAAGGACUAGUGGCUCAAUGCAAACUUUGCUUACACCGCAGCCUUGCUCCAAAGUUCCCCAGGGCCUGCCUGGGUCCCACUAACUCCACAGAGAGCAAGCACAGCCCACAACAGGCACAAUCAGUGUGGACUGAGGUAGGAAAGACAUUGAGGGUCAGAGCUGAUGGCCAAGAAAGAACUCUUGAGAUGUCUUUGGUGCAAAAAGGUGGUUUUAUUAAAUGAAACAAGAUGGGAUUGGGAGGGAGAUAAACCAUAAGUGACUCUUAAUCUCACAAAACAAACUGAGGGUUGCUGGGGGGAGGGGGUUUGGGAGAAGGGGGUGGGAUUAUGGACAUUGGGGAGGGUAUGUGCUUUGGUGAGUGCUGUGAAGUGUGUAAACCUGGUGAUUCACAGACCUGUACCCCUGGGGAUAAAAAUAUAUGUUUAUAAAAAAUAAAAAAUUAAUCAAAAAAAAUAAUUUAAAAAAAAAGCACAGGGACAGGACCUGUGGGCAGAAAAGGUUGCACUGGGGUCAUGAGGAGUGGCCCAUUAUAUAUUUUCAACUUGGGAGGGGGUUAGGGACAGUGUAAGUCUCUAAGAAAUUCUGGAAGCAAAGUUUCCAGAACCUUGCGAUGGCUAGCUAUUGUUGGGAAAAUGUUGUUUAUUACCAUCUAAUAAAACCUUAGUCAUGAGACCCUUAAGAUGUGUAAUGGUUAGCCCAUAUGCUUGGGGGAAUGCCAAAACAUAUCUUGGGGGGUUUAGAGAUAAAGGAAGUUUCCAAAACAAUUUUUAUAUGUUAAAGUAGGCUUACAUGAUCCUGGUGGUGGUGGUGGGGCGCGGGGGGAGGGUACAGAUUGCCUUUUGCCCUUAGCAAAGUGUCAACAUCAAGGCAGUUGAGUCCCUAGAGGACUGUCAAUCUGCCUGUUUCAAGGACUUGUCAAUGAACUGUAGGUAGUAAGGGAAUUUAAUAAUUUCUCUUCUGCCUUUAUUUCCCACAUCGUGGACGACUGCCCUGAAAGGAAAGUGACUCAGAGGUGACAGCAGUGCACAAGUAACACACAUAUGAUCCUCUCCUUGAAGUGUGACAAAGGACAUUUUCAAGUUCUAAUAUUUGUGAACCCUACUCCUGGGCUCCCAGGGAAGAUACACUUUUAUCAAGAUGACACUUCAAAGCACAAAAGUCCUUUCUGUCCUGAGCACAUGUUGUACAUCUGUUUCAUUAGCACAUAACCUAAAAGAAAUAUUUCAGACUCAAGAUAGGAGUAAAAAUCCCCUGGAGUUCUGUUCCCAUACUCCCAAACCUGCAAACUUGCACAUACUAAAAACAUAAGAUAAAGUCUGUAAUUUUCUGAAAUGUCCUUCCUGUGAUGACUUGUAACUCUUGAUGUAAUAAAAGCACAUAUGAUCCUGUAUUAAACAUUCCUUCUCCAGAGCACUCCCUUCUUUAUGAAGAUUGUAUAUCCUGGGCUGCUGUGCUCACUUGGGCUUGAAUAAAACUCUUGUCUUUUUUUGUAGAAA
RNA transcript from Mustela lutreola (European mink), 3411 nucleotides. It is a transcript of the gene named olfactory receptor 3A2-like, with no coding region annotated. The transcript is spliced from 2 exons. Lineage: Eukaryota; Metazoa; Chordata; Mammalia; Carnivora; Mustelidae. The record is from RefSeq and is a predicted model, not a curated record.